This is a non-coding RNA of Bactrocera oleae (olive fruit fly), 840 nucleotides long. NCBI's taxonomy places the organism in Eukaryota, Metazoa, Arthropoda, Insecta, Diptera, Tephritidae. The record is from RefSeq and is a predicted model, not a curated record.
GUAGCUUUGGGUUCGUGUGCUGGAAUUGUAAUCGAGUACGGUUCGGUAUAAUGGAGUGAUAUUAAAACGGCAGUCUGCAGUUCGAGCUAUAAUUUUCUGCUCGGCACAGUGCAAAUAGAAGGGAAAUAUUGAGAGCGAUGGAAUACAAAAUUUACAAGCUUUGAUGGAACUUAACCGAGUUCUAACGAUGUAAAUGGAAGAGGACUUCGACACUUAAAUAACACUAAAAACUAAAAAACAACGUUAAAAUCCUUCACAGUUGAAAUGCUUUAUGCUGCAGUGGCCACGAGGCAAUAAUAUGCAAAUGAGCUCUAUUAUUUACAUAAGGAGCGAUUCAUGCAGGCAACUGACGACAGCACUAAUUAUAUAUGCACAUAUACAUAUAUAUGCUAUACAUAUCCAAGGAUUCUAUUAUUGCAUGACUAGAAAUCAUUUUAACAGCUGCAUUGGUUAAAAAUAGAAUACACAAUGGUUCAUGCGAUAAUUCUCAACAAAUGCAACUCUGGAACAAAUAACAGCAUUGGAAAUUGGACUGCUGGAUGUCAAACUACCGUAGCGAAAGAUAUAAAUUGACCGAUGAUUGUCGGAUAUUUCUUGAUUAAUUUUUAAUUUGGGAGUUGUAACGUAUCACUGACUGAUAGAAGGUUUCAAGUCCUAGACGUCCAUUCGCACGGCAAUCGACUUUUCAUAGUUGAUAUGGAUCCGAAUUUUUAUCCAGCCAAAGACUAUGAACAUGGCAGUAUUCUCCAAAAUUAUUUGUUUGCCACCACAACAACAACGACAGUCUAUUUAUUUCACUAUUAAUGGAUCAAUAAUUCAUAAAUUAAUGAUUUUAAAUAA